RNAcentral lists this ribosomal RNA (459 nucleotides) under uncultured bacterium. RNAcentral's name for it is "partial 16S ribosomal RNA". It matches the Rfam family "Bacterial small subunit ribosomal RNA", at positions 27 to 507 of the family's 1533-position model. The record is from RNAcentral.
GGACGAACGCUGGCGGCGUGCUUCAUACAUGCAAGUCGAACGAGAAGCUGACUUCGGUCAGUGGACAGUGGCGGACGGGUGAGUAAUAUGUAGGAAAUCUGCCUUUAGGAGGGGGACAACAGAGGGAAACUUCUGCUAAUACCCCAUAUGAGCGUAGCUGAAAUGCUAUUCUUGAAAACUCCGGUGCCUAAAGAUGAGCCUGCAUCUGAUUAGCUAGUUGGUAGUGUAAUGGACUACCAAGGCGACGAUCAGUAGCUGGUUUGAGAGGAUGAUCAGCCACAAUGGGACUGAGACACGGCCCAUACUCGUACGGGAGGCAGCAGUAGGGAAUUUUGCGCAAUGGGCGAAAGACUGACGCAGCCACGCCGCGGGAACGAUUAAGCCCUUCGGGGUGUAAAGUUCUGUCAGUAGGGACGGAGCUUGACGGUACCCACAGAGGAAGCACCGGCUAACUCCGUG